AACAUAAAGCCAAGUAUAAACCAGCACUUCAAUAGAUACCAGUUGAACCAACUAAGAAUGGGAAGAACCAUAAUAUAAAAUAACCAUAGAGUUUCUAAAAAAUUAUUCACAAUCAUACUUGUGAUUUAUUAAGUAUUUUACUGACUUUCAUGCGAAGCCAUUCUAAUAUAUAUCUACUGAGGGUAGGGGAGAUCCCUAGCUACCACUAUGAAUGGCCAAAUCAAUUCAAUUCCCCAAUUGGGGUCAGUUCAAUUACCAUUUUGGGAUAGUUCCAUAUCGAUAUUGGGUAUAAUUUAUGACCACAGUCGUACGUUGCCACUAUGGCCCUACAUAUCAUAUCGCCAAGAGAAAUGUCGAUCAUUCAUAGGGAUUGGUUCACCAACAUUUUAUACUCAGACGCAGGAGAAACAUAAACUCCUUAGAGAUAAAAGUCAAACAG
RNAcentral lists this long non-coding RNA (439 nucleotides) under Carica papaya (papaya). RNAcentral describes it as "long non-coding RNA (CPAP_LNC013041)". Lineage: Eukaryota; Viridiplantae; Streptophyta; Magnoliopsida; Brassicales; Caricaceae. The record is from RNAcentral.